Molecule: ribosomal RNA, 163 nt
Filed under: Bupleurum hamiltonii
Lineage: Eukaryota; Viridiplantae; Streptophyta; Magnoliopsida; Apiales; Apiaceae
Description: 5.8S ribosomal RNA
Rfam family: 5.8S ribosomal RNA
About the family: 5.8S ribosomal RNA (5.8S rRNA) is a component of the large subunit of the eukaryotic ribosome. It is transcribed by RNA polymerase I as part of the 45S precursor that also contains 18S and 28S rRNA.
Source: RNAcentral
CCAACGACUCUCGGCAACGGAUAUCCCGGCUCUCGCAUCGAUGAAGAACGUAGCGAAAUGCGAUACUUGGUGUGAAUUGCAGAAUCCCGUGAACCAUCGAGUUUUUGAACGCAAGUUGCGCCCGAUGCCAUUAGGUUGAGGGCACGUCUGCCUGGGUGUCACG